CGGCGACGCGCCGCCAUCACCGUCCAGUGACACCUCUCCCACCACGCCGGGUGGAGGCUACACGCCGACGCCGAGCGACACACCGCCCUCACCGUCCAGUGACACCUCUCCAACUACACCGGGUGGAUGCUUCAGUCCCACGCCGUGCGGCACACCACCCUCGCCGUCCAGUGGAACCUCGCCCACCACGCCGGGUGGAGGCUACACGCCGACACCGAGCGACACGCCCCCCUCGCCGUCCAGUGGCACCUCGCCCACCACGCCGGGUGGAGGCUACACGCCGACACCGAGCGACACGCCCCCCUCGCCGUCCAGUGGCACCUCUCCAACUAUACCAGGUGGAUGCUCCAGUCCCACGUCGUGCGGCACGCCACCCUCGCCGUCCAGUGGUACCUCUCCUACCACGCCGGGUGGAGGUUAUAUGCCGACACCGAGAGACACGCCACCCUCGCCGUCCAGUGGCACCUCUCCCACCACGCCGGGUGGAGGCUACACGCCGACGCCGAGCGACACUCCGCCCUCGCCGUCCAGUGGCACCUCUCCCACUACACCGGGUGGAUGCUCUAGUCCAACGCCAUGCGGCACGCCACCUUCGCCGUCCAUUGGUACCUCUCCUACCACGCCGGGUGGAGGCUAUACGCCGACACCGAGCGAGACGCCGCCCUCACCGUCCAGUGGCACCUCUCCCACUACACCGGGUGGAUGCUCUACUCACACGCCAUGUGGCACGCCACCUUCGCCGUCCAUUGGCACCUCUCCGAUCACACCAACACCAGGUGGAAGCUACUACCCACCAACGCCAUCCAUUGGCGACGCACCACCCUCGCCGUCGAGUGACACCUCUCCGACCACGCCGGGUGGAGGAUACAACCCGCCCACACCGUCCACUGGCGGCGCACCACCCUCGCCGUCAAGUGACACCUCUCCGACCACACCGGGCGUAGGUUCCCCGUCGACGCCAUGUG
Molecule: long non-coding RNA, 965 nt
Filed under: Oryza brachyantha (malo sina)
Lineage: Eukaryota; Viridiplantae; Streptophyta; Magnoliopsida; Poales; Poaceae
Description: long non-coding RNA (OBRA_LNC000225)
Source: RNAcentral